GGGAGAUUGAGGAGCUAAGGGGAAAGCUUGCAAAUGUUUCGUCUGCCUCUAAUGACGGUGUAGAAAAGUUCAGAGAAGACUAUCUGCUAAAGCUGAAUGUCCUUGAAGAACAGGUUAAAGAGAUGACAAAGAAACAGCAUGUUGAAUCUCAUCGAUCAACUCAAAGACCCAAAGGUGACGAAGCAACAAACGGGUUGCAGUUUGAGAAUCAAUGUUUGAAAGCUCAGAAGGUUCAAUUGCAAUGUAAGAUCAAGCUAGAGUCCGUGCAAUUUAGAGAAUGCAAGGCUUCAUUGGAAAAAGAAUCUCUUCAG
This is a long non-coding RNA of Quercus robur (English oak), 311 nucleotides long. RefSeq lists it as uncharacterized. Lineage: Eukaryota; Viridiplantae; Streptophyta; Magnoliopsida; Fagales; Fagaceae. The record is from RefSeq and is a predicted model, not a curated record. The transcript has 3 exons.